AGGGGGCAAGCGUUAUCCGGAUUUACUGGGUGUAAAGGGAGCGUAGACGGUCUGGCAAGUCUGAUGUGAAAGGCAGGGGCUCAACCCCUGGACUGCAUUGGAAACUGUAAGACUUGAGUGCCGGAGAGGUAAGCGGAAUUCCUAGUGUAGCGGUGAAAUGCGUAGAUAUUAGGAGGAACACCAGUGGCGAAGGCGGCUUACUGGACGGUAACUGACGUUGAGGCUCGAAAGCGUGGGGAGCAA
This 243-nucleotide ribosomal RNA is filed under the name uncultured bacterium. RNAcentral describes it as "partial 16S ribosomal RNA". It matches the Rfam family "Bacterial small subunit ribosomal RNA", at positions 529 to 771 of the family's 1533-position model. The record is from RNAcentral.